Molecule: non-coding RNA, 955 nt
Filed under: Anguloclavus sp. 1 MNHN IM 2013-19732
Lineage: Eukaryota; Metazoa; Mollusca; Gastropoda; Neogastropoda; Drilliidae
Description: 12S ribosomal RNA
Rfam family: Microsporidia small subunit ribosomal RNA (bases 244-955)
Source: RNAcentral
ACUAUUAAUAGGUAACAAAAUUGCUUCUUAUAAAUUCCUAAAAUAAUAAGAAAACAACCUCAAAAAACCUUAUAUAUAAAAACUUGGCUCUGAUUUAAUAAUAUAAUAUUUAACUAAAAAAAACACAUGGUUUUUUUUGAAAAAAGCGAGGUUAAAAAGAAACUAAAAACAGUAUAAAACCAGUUAUAAUCUUCUUUUUAAGGUAUUAUAAUAUAUACAAAAUGCCCCGAAAUGUCCCGCUAACCCCAGUGUUGAAGCUUAAUUAAAAAGCGAAAGCUUGUAUUAGUUUAGUUAAUUAAAUUUGGUCAACUUGGUGCCAGCAUCCGCGGUUAAACCAAGAAAUUAAAUUAUAUCAAACCGGUAAAAAUAUAGUUAAGCAUCAUAAUCAAUUUAGCGCUUCUUGACUAUUUAUAAAAAAGUAAAAUUUAAAUAUAAAUAAAUAAUCCAAUAGCAGCCAAGUUAUGCUGAAUCUAUGAUAGCCUUGAGGGAAACUGGGAUUAGAUACCCCACUAUUCUUGGCUGUAAACUAAUAAUACUUACCAGGGUACUACGAAUUCCACAAUUUAAAACUCAAAGAGCUUGGCGGUGUUUUAGACCUCUCAGGGGAACCUGUCUCAUAAUCGAUAAUCCACGUUACACCUAACCUUUAUUUGCAAUCAACCUGUAUACCGUUGUCGUCAGGUAACUUUUUAGAAACUAGAAGUUAGCUAGAAGUCUUAAACUAUAACGUCAAAUCAAGGUGCAGUCAAUAUAGAGGCGAAGAUGGGUUACAAUUAUACAAUCAUAAUACGCAUAGUUAUAUAAAUAAAUAACUAUUAAGGCGGACUUGAAAGUAAACUAAAUUAUAUAAACAACUUGAAUUAGGCUCUGAAAUGUGUACACAUCGCCCGUCGCUCUUAUUGGAAAAUAAGAUAAGUCGUAACAUAGUAGGGGUAAUGGAAAUUGCCCCUAAACU